UAUUUAUUAGUGUACGAUGCACAGGAAUUUUUGACGUUCCUAGAGCGGUUUAAUUCUGCAAUAAGUAA
RNAcentral lists this transfer RNA (68 nucleotides) under Platycnemis phyllopoda. RNAcentral describes it as "tRNA-Gln". The record is from RNAcentral. Lineage: Eukaryota; Metazoa; Arthropoda; Insecta; Odonata; Platycnemididae.